This 460-nucleotide ribosomal RNA is filed under the name uncultured bacterium. RNAcentral's name for it is "partial 16S ribosomal RNA". It matches the Rfam family "Bacterial small subunit ribosomal RNA", at positions 338 to 795 of the family's 1533-position model. The record is from RNAcentral.
CCUACGGGUGGCAGCAGUGAGGAAUAUUGGUCAAUGGGCGCGAGCCGGAAACAGCCAAGUAGCGUGAAGGAUGACUGCCCUACAGGUUGUAAACAUCUUUUAUAAAGGAAUAAAGGGAGGGACGGGUGCCCUUUUGCAUGUACUUUAUGAAUAAGGAUCGGCUAACUCCGUGCCAGCAGCCGCGGUAAUACGGAGGAUCCUAGCGUUAUCCGGAUUUAUUGGGUUUAAAGGGAGCGUAGAUGGGUUGUUAAGUCAGUUGUGAAAGUUUGCGGCUCAACCGUAAAAUUGCAGUUGAUACUGGCAGCCUUGAGUACAGUAGAGGUAGGCGGAAUUCGUGGUGUAGCGGUGAAAUGCUUAGAUAUCACGAAGAACUCCGAUUGCGAAGGCAGCUUACUAGACUGCCACUGACAUUGAUGCUCGAAAGUGUGGGUAUCAAACAGGAUUAGAUACCCCAGUAGUC